This 1040-nucleotide small RNA is filed under the name Bos taurus (domestic cattle). The record is from RNAcentral. Lineage: Eukaryota; Metazoa; Chordata; Mammalia; Artiodactyla; Bovidae.
AAAGAUCUUCAUGACCCAGUUAAGCACGAUGGUGUGAUCGUUCACCUGAGGACCCGAUGUCCUGGAAUGUGAAGUCUAGUGGGACUUAGGAAGCAUAACGACAAACAAAGCUUGUGGAGGUGAUGGAAUUCAGUUGAGAUAUUUCAAAUUCUAAAAGAUGAUGAUAUGAAUGUGCUGCCCUCCAUAUGCCAGCAAAUUUGGGAGACUCAGCAGUGGCCAGAGGACUGGAAAUGGUCAGUUUUCAUUCCAACCACAAAGAAAGGCAAUCCAAAGAAUGUCCAAACUACCACUUAAUUGCACAUGUCUGACACACUUGCCCAGAACUGCUCAGAAUUCCCCAAGCCAGGCUUCAACAGAAUGUGAACCAUGAGCUCCCAGAUGUUCAAGCUGGAUUUAUAAAGGGCAGAGGAACCCGAGAUUCAAUUGUCAACACCCGUUGGGUCCUCCAAAAGGCAAGAGAACUCCAGGAAAGCAGCUACUCUUAUUUGACUAUGCCAAAGACUUUGACUGACACAACAAAACGACACACACACAAAAAGUCACAUCAAAACGUGGAAUAUUCUUCCAAACAUCGGAAUACAUGCCUCCUGAGAAUUCUUACAUCCAUGUAAAUAAAAUAAAUAUUUAUCAACUUGGAAAAUUUUCUCAGUCAAUAGGAAAGGUGAAUUAUGAUAGUAGUGCACGUGAGACAAUGUUGUUGAGUAAUGUGUAGAGCAUUUGAUUGGUUAUUACAUUUCUUUAUUGAUAAUUCAGUAAGCACUUAAAAUGUGUCAUUUUCAGGCUCUAUGUUUCAGCUGUUGUGAAAGAUACAUAAAGAGGGUAGACCCAAAACACAUUGAAGAUAUCUGUACUCUCCUUCGUAGGAGGGCAAACAGUAGUUCCUUCCAACCGCAAGAAAUAGUUGAGACAAAGUUGUUAGAAGGGGCUUAGCAUAAGGUAAGGUAAGGUUAGGUAAGUCACUUCAGUUGUGUUUGACUCUAGGCGACCCCAUAGACGGCAGCCCAACAGGCCCCCACAUCCCUGGGAUUCUCCAGGCAAGA